RNAcentral lists this transfer RNA (77 nucleotides) under Chloroflexota bacterium. RNAcentral describes it as "tRNA-Arg". It matches the Rfam family "tRNA". Rfam says of the family: Transfer RNA (tRNA) molecules are approximately 80 nucleotides in length. The record is from RNAcentral. RNAcentral also lists the same sequence under 2 other names. Lineage: Bacteria; Bacillati; Chloroflexota.
GCGCCCGUAGCUCAGUUGGAUAGAGCGAAUGGUUUCUACCCAUUAGGUCGGGGGUUCGAAUCCUCCCGGGCGUGCCA